Molecule: unclassified non-coding RNA, 243 nt
Filed under: Hevea brasiliensis (rubber tree)
Lineage: Eukaryota; Viridiplantae; Streptophyta; Magnoliopsida; Malpighiales; Euphorbiaceae
Source: RNAcentral
CGAGGACCAAAAGUGCAUUGACCCCUUGGUGUACAAUUCUGACCAAACCCUGGCAUUCUCCCUUUGCCAUUGUAAGUGACGCGGUAGAUUUCCUCUUCCGUGUCAACUCCAUUUCUUUGUAGAUCCUUCAAGAAGAGUGUCGCACCAGGCUGGAUUAUAUUUCCACCUUCAUAAUGACAUCCAAUGCAAGCUCGAUUAAACAAAGAAGCUCCCUUUUGUACAUCUGUUGUUUGUCCAAUUGAG